UGUUGGCUCGAAACGACUAUCAAAUCAGUUGGCCAAGACACUCCAUUUUAUAUCAGUUGUUUACCUCUUAUCAUAUUUUUACUAUUGGUCAUUUUCGAACAGCCAAUUGAUAAACGCUCUAGAUUAAGUCCCCUCUGCGAUCUGUUAGUAACUAAUUUGGGCAAGAGAUAAGAAACUACUAUUCAGACAGUUAGUCAUCUUUAUGGGGGACUUUUCUUUCUUUGACAACGUUGAUAAUUCCAAGGUAAACCCCAUAUUAUUUUUGGGUAUAACGAAGUUUUGCUGUAUGAAAUGAAAGAUAUAUUGAGGCACUCAAUUAAACUCCUUGCACAGGAUAUAAAGCUCCUUUCAAGGUUUAAGGGACGUUAUAUUGAUCAUACCGCCUAAUCUUAUAAGGAAGUGCGAUUUAAAUCUUUAAGCAAGUGGCAUAAAAUAUGAUGAUAUUCAAAAUAAAUUUGAAAAGGGCUUGUCAUGAUAAACAAAGCAGUACAAGGUGGCUUACAAAAUGUUAGCCCAUAUUUAUUAUUUGAAAUUGACCAGUAAAAUAAUGAGUUAUCAACAAUUUGGAAGAAAAACCUAAGACUUCUAUAACGUGCACUAUGGCGCCACGAGUUUAUUAGUAGCAAAUUACCCGGCUGGUAUAAAUCACUUUUUAUCGAGAACUCUAAAUAUACGAGAAGCUUAAUAUAAGCAAUCACAUUUCUCCGUAGAGAUCGGACUGCUGAUUUUGCCAGGAAAUAGAAUUGAAUACAUUGCAGACUCGGGAAAACUUCGUUCGUAGUGUUAAACAAAUAUUUACGAAGAAUCCAUUGCCCAUUUCCGGUUUCUAGGCAGUUGGAUGCACUUUGGACAAGUGUCAAAAGGUGUCACCUAAGGGCCUGUCGGCUACCAAAGUUGCACCGCCGGCGGAAAGAAACUACUAUGGAGAGGUGACAACUCGAAUGACAGCAGAAAUAAGAGCCACCUACAAAGUGUACACAAAUACCCUACUCCCCCACUCCCACUGGCUUCUACUACCAUAUCUCGUGCCCCCAACAUAUGCCACACCAUUAUUCCAAACAACAAACAAACAAACAAACAAAUGAACAAAUAUUUGCCACAAAGAGCGAGGAAGACAAACCCACAAGGAAGACGACUGGGAGCCUGAAGAACGAUAAAAUGGCAUUUAUGAUAAAUACAUAAUACUCGAUGUUUACCCACUCAUUCAGUAACGCAUAUAGAACACUGGGAAAAAAGUAUAUCAUGUUAAUUUGGAUUCAAAAUAUUACGUUGUUUAAGCAGUUGUUUUAAUAGUAAAAGUAAUCCUAAUUUGGAA
This is a long non-coding RNA of Drosophila sechellia, 1315 nucleotides long. RefSeq lists it as uncharacterized. The record is from RefSeq and is a predicted model, not a curated record. The transcript is spliced from 2 exons. NCBI's taxonomy places the organism in Eukaryota, Metazoa, Arthropoda, Insecta, Diptera, Drosophilidae.